RNAcentral lists this ribosomal RNA (493 nucleotides) under Limaria hians. RNAcentral's name for it is "partial 16S ribosomal RNA". It matches the Rfam family "Bacterial large subunit ribosomal RNA", at positions 1818 to 2581 of the family's 2925-position model. The record is from RNAcentral. Lineage: Eukaryota; Metazoa; Mollusca; Bivalvia; Limoida; Limidae.
GGCUUUUGUUUAAUUGGAGGUUAAAAGUUCCGCCUUCCCGGUGAGGGGACCUCCUUUUUUAACGGCAGCGGUAAAUUGCUUUAAUCGUAGCUCAAUUUCCUUGCCCUUUAAUUGUGGAGCUAACGUGAAUGGUAAGACGAGGGUUAAGCUGUCUCGCUGCUGGGUAAAGAAAACGGAGUGUGGGUGAAAAUACCCACAUGGAGCAGAGGGACGAUUAGACCCCGUGGAGCUUUAACACAAUUGGCCCCCUGUAAAAGGGUUGAGUAGUGUUUAGGCUGGGGCAGCCGAAUGGGAUAAGAAUACCAAUUGAGAGACUAAGAAAGCCGGCGAGCUAUUAACGAUCCACUGACAUCUAGUGAACGGCGGAACAACGUUACCCCGGGGGUAACAGGCUAAUUUCGCUCUGAGAGAUCCUGUUGAUGAGCGGGUUUGGCACCUCGAUGUUGGCUUAGGGUAUCCGGAAGAUGCAGGAGUCUCAAAGGGUGGUCCGGUU